GGAUUGUGGCUCAGAGGGAGAGUACUUGCCUUGAACACAUGAGGCACUGGGUUCAAUCCUCAGCACCA
RNAcentral lists this transfer RNA (68 nucleotides) under Marmota monax (woodchuck). RNAcentral describes it as "tRNA.Ser". The stretch from base 5 to 65 matches the Rfam family "tRNA", at positions 6 to 65 of the family's 71-position model. From Rfam's summary of the family: Transfer RNA (tRNA) molecules are approximately 80 nucleotides in length. Their secondary structure includes four short double-helical elements and three loops (D, anti-codon, and T loops). The record is from RNAcentral. Lineage: Eukaryota; Metazoa; Chordata; Mammalia; Rodentia; Sciuridae.